This 446-nucleotide ribosomal RNA is filed under the name uncultured bacterium. RNAcentral's name for it is "SSU rRNA". It matches the Rfam family "Bacterial small subunit ribosomal RNA", at positions 26 to 518 of the family's 1533-position model. The record is from RNAcentral.
AGAGCGAACGCUGGCGGCAUGCCUAACACAUGCAAGUCGCGCGGGCAGCAAUGUCAGCGGCGGACGGGUGCGUAACGCGUAGGAACAUAUCCGAAGGUGGGGGACAACCCUGGGAAACUGGGGCUAAUACCGCAUAUGAACUGAGGUUCAAAGCAGCGAUGCGCCUUUGGAGUGGCCUGCGUCCGAUUAGCUUGUUGGUGGGGUAAAGGCCUACCAAGGCGACGAUCGGUAGCUGGUCUGAGAGGACGAUCAGCCACACUGGGACUGAGACACGGCCCAGACUCCUACGGGAGGCAGCAGUGGGGAAUAUUGGACAAUGGGCGCAAGCCUGAUCCAGCAAUGCCGCGUGUGUGAAGAAGGUCUUCGGAUUGUAAAGCACUUUCGACAGGGACGAUGAUGACGGUACCUGUAGAAGAAGCCCCGGCUAACUUCGUGCCAGCAGCCGC